AUCAAGCUGACGAGUCUCAAAUAAGAUGAAACACGUAUCCUUGAU
Molecule: non-coding RNA, 45 nt
Organism: Schistosoma mansoni
Lineage: Eukaryota; Metazoa; Platyhelminthes; Trematoda; Strigeidida; Schistosomatidae
Source: Rfam